Camelus ferus (Wild Bactrian camel) is the source of this 71-nucleotide transfer RNA. It matches the Rfam family "tRNA". Rfam says of the family: Transfer RNA (tRNA) molecules are approximately 80 nucleotides in length. Their secondary structure includes four short double-helical elements and three loops (D, anti-codon, and T loops). The record is from Rfam. Lineage: Eukaryota; Metazoa; Chordata; Mammalia; Artiodactyla; Camelidae.
GAGGCUAUAGCUUAAUGUAGAGAGCAUGUUUAGAAUGCACAAGGUCCUGGGUUCAAUCCCCAGUACCUCCA